Molecule: ribosomal RNA, 491 nt
Filed under: uncultured bacterium
Lineage: Bacteria
Description: partial 16S ribosomal RNA
Rfam family: Bacterial small subunit ribosomal RNA
Source: RNAcentral
AGUGAACGCUGGCGGUAGGCCUAACACAUGCAAGUCGAACGGCAGCACAGUAAGAGCUUGCUCUUACGGGUGGCGAGUGGCGGACGGGUGAGGAAUACAUCGGAAUCUACUUUUUCGUGGGGGAUAACGUAGGGAAACUUACGCUAAUACCGCAUACGACCUACGGGUGAAAGCAGGGGAUCUUCGGACCUUGCGCGAUUGAAUGAGCCGAUGUCGGAUUAGCUAGUUGGCGGGGUAAAGGCCCACCAAGGCGACGAUCCGUAGCUGGUCUGAGGGGAUGGUCGGCCACACUGGAACUGAGACACGGUCCAGACUCCUACGGGAGGCAGCAGUGGGGAAUAUUGGACAAUGGGCGCAAGCCUGAUCCAGCCAUACCGCGUGGGUGAAGAAGGCCUUCGGGUUGUAAAGCCCUUUUGUUGGGAAAGAAAAGCAGCAGGUUAAUACCCCGCUGUUCUGACGGUACCCAAAGAAUAAGCACCGGCUAACUUCGU